RNAcentral lists this ribosomal RNA (497 nucleotides) under uncultured bacterium. RNAcentral describes it as "bacterial SSU rRNA". It matches the Rfam family "Bacterial small subunit ribosomal RNA", at positions 8 to 518 of the family's 1533-position model. The record is from RNAcentral.
AGAGUUUGAUCCUGGCUCAGGAUGAACGCUGGCGGCGUGCUUAACACAUGCAAGUCGAACGGAGUUUAUAUGAAACCUAGUGAUUAUAACUUAGUGGCGGACGGGUGAGUAACGCGUGGGUAACCUGCCUUAUCCAGGGGGAUAACAGUGAGAAAUUACUGCUAAUACCGCAUAAGCGCACAGAAUCGCAUGAUUCAGUGUGAAAGAUUUAUCGGGAUAAGAUGGACCCGCGUCUGAUUAGCUAGUUGGUGAGGUAACGGCCCACCAAGGCGACGAUCAGUAGCCGGCCUGAGAGGGUGAACGGCCACAUUGGGACUGAGACACGGCCCAAACUCCUACGGGAGGCAGCAGUGGGGAAUAUUGCACAAUGGGGGAAACCCUGAUGCAGCGACGCCGCGUGAGUGACGAAGUAUUUCGGUAUGUAAAACUCUAUCAGCAGGGAAGAAAAUGACGGUACCUGACUAAGAAGCCCCGGCUAACUACGUGCCAGCAGCCGC